RNAcentral lists this ribosomal RNA (228 nucleotides) under uncultured bacterium. RNAcentral describes it as "partial 16S ribosomal RNA". It matches the Rfam family "Bacterial small subunit ribosomal RNA", at positions 524 to 751 of the family's 1533-position model. The record is from RNAcentral.
UACGGAGGGGGCUAGCGUUGUUCGGAAUUACUGGGCGUAAAGCGCACGUAGGCGGCUUUGUAAGUUAGAGGUGAAAGCCCGGGGCUCAACUCCGGAAUUGCCUUUAAGACUGCAUCGCUAGAGUUGUGGAGAGGUAAGUGGAAUUCCGAGUGUAGAGGUGAAAUUCGUAGAUAUUCGGAAGAACACCAGUGGCGAAGGCGACUUACUGGACACAUACUGACGCUGAGG